This is a small nuclear RNA of Dasypus novemcinctus (nine-banded armadillo), 107 nucleotides long. NCBI's taxonomy places the organism in Eukaryota, Metazoa, Chordata, Mammalia, Cingulata, Dasypodidae. The record is from Ensembl.
GUGCUCACUUCAGCAGCACAAAUACUAAAACCGGAAUGAUAUAGAGAAGAUCAGCCUGUCUUCUGUGCAAGGGUGACAUGCAAACUUAUGGAGCAUUCUAUAUUUUA